This 5670-nucleotide long non-coding RNA is filed under the name Sus scrofa (pig). RNAcentral's name for it is "lncRNA (ENSSSCG00065036015.1)". Lineage: Eukaryota; Metazoa; Chordata; Mammalia; Artiodactyla; Suidae. The record is from RNAcentral.
UUUUUUUUUUUUUUCUUUUUUUGCCUCCCCAGUUUCUCCUAGGCUCUCAUGUAUUUAAUGAUGUUGACUUAACAGGUAAGUACUACCUGAUUCUUUGCCUUGCUCACCUUAAUGUGAGCUUUAGUAAAAUAAAAUAUUUAUUUAUUUAUUUGUCUUUUUGCCUUUUCUAGGGCUGCUCCUGUGGCAUAUGGAGAUUCCCAGGCUAGGGGUCUAAUCGGAACUGUAGCCGCCAGCCCACACCAGAGCCACAGCAACACCAGAUCCGAGCCGCGUCUGCAACGUAUACCACAGCUCACGGCAAUGCCAGAUCCUUAACCCACUGAGCAAGGCCAGGGAUCGAACCCGCAACCUCAUGGUUCCUAGUCGGAUUCAUUAACCGCUGUGCCACAAUGGGAAAUAUAUAAUCAAGUGUGAGUAUUGGACAAUGGAGAUUCCCAUGAUAUAUUUUAUUUACGUUUUGGUCAAAUGGAUGUGUUGCUUAAUCUGUGACAUUAGAUCAGAAGAUAGAAGCUGUCAGAACAAACCUUUCUUAUUUCUUUCUUGUUAAUGGUUCCCAUCUAGACAUAUGAGUCAUUUGGAGAAGGAUUAAUGGCCACAUGAGCAUUAACAUUAAUUGUAAGCCUAGUCACCUGAUGAAGUGCUUCUCUGCUAAGUAUCAGAAUAAGCAGAUAAAAUUGAAAACUAACCCACAUGGAUUUCUUGGUAUUAAAAUGUACAGAUUUAAUCAUCUAUUUCUUAAAUUUGGCACUAGUUAAGGAUUAUUAUUUGUUUGUUUCAUUUUGUUUUAAUUAGAAUUUAACUUGAGGGACUAUGUCCAUGAAAUAGAACUGCUUCUCAGUCGUCAUCUUGCAAUGUUAUGUAGUUCACAGCAUAGCCAUCCCAACCCCUCUUCUUUCAGCUUGGAAAACAGAUUCAUUUUUUUGUGUGUUCAUAAAUAAUUUUGGUACUUUAAUAAUAUUUGGUGCUUUUUGAUUUUAGGAUCUGAUUUAAAAUAAAUCUAAUUUAUUAAAUAUUUAGGGUGCUUGCACAGUUGUUUGUGAAUCAGGAAUUAGUAGUAUAUCCAUGGAGGAAUAAAUCAAGGCAUGGGAGGAAAGUCUAUGGGCUGUUUUAAUGUUAAGAAGAGGUGCCUUUAUAGCUUUCAAAAGUGUUUGAAAAUUAAAUGUUUGAUUUAUAAGGGCUGUGUACACACAGGGCUCAAAUUAUUCAUGUAUCAUUUGGAAAAUGUAAAAUGCUUAAUGUUCUGACAUUAUGUGAUAAUUGCUAUUCUAAUAUAUAGUGUCUACUAAAUCUUUCUGGGAGCGGGUGAGGGUGGCAUUGAUAUACAGGAGCACAUGCUUUGUGUGCUAGUAAAUCAUUCUUCCAUUGAAUUAAGGCCAAGGAGGGAGCAGCAAGUAGAACUUAAAGUGAUAUUACAGUAUCUGGUAUUGUUCUAAUCAAGAAAUAUGCAGCAGUACUAGUGAAAAAUGGAUAUAAAAACAAAAAUCCACUAAGGAGAAAAUGCAAUCAGAGAUUUAUCAGUGAUACUUUUUGUAAGGUUUCCAGGAAUCAUAGUCAUAGUCAUCAUUCAGAUGACCGAAGAGUUGCUUUUCAAGGUUGAUGUCAUCUCCAUUCUCUUUUGCAUUGGUACCCCUCUGAUGACACGCAUUAGAAUCACUGCUCUCUAUGGGUGCUUAUUCAUUAAUGAGUCAGAGUCCUCCUGGCUCCAGGAUCAACCAGCUGGGUGAACUUGAAUUUGUGGGUCCACUCUUUAAGCUUCUGUAAUAGUUGUAGCUACCUUGUAGAAUUACUACAAGUAAAUGAGAUAAUUCAUGCCCAGCAUCUAGCAGAGGGCCUGGCACACGGUUGUCACUUGACGUUGUUGCUAUCACUGUUUACCUUCUGCAGAUACCUGCCCACAGUUAUUUUAACAAAGAGUGACGAGGUGCAUUGUAAAAAGGACUAGGGAAAGACUUAAGGGAGGACUGCAAAAUUGGUGACUUUAUCCUCACAAAGCCAACAUAGCAAAAUAGAACUCUCCUAGUGGGCCUAAGGAUAUAAGAGGCCCAAACCUAACGUGUGUAGGAGCUGGUUGGCUAACUUCAGUUUUUCUUUUUGAGUUGUUGAAAGGAGCUCCAGAUACACUUUUUAAAAAAUGAAUUCUAGCCUGUAUUGGAGAACUCAGUUUCUGUCCUUGACAUUAAUGUACAGGGGAGGAGGAAGUGCUCCUUACCUAUGAGCACUCUCUUUUCUUUCCUGGGAAUCAGAAGUCACAGAGACAGGCAGUACAUCCCAGUUGAGGGAGGUGAUAAAUGAAUGUGUAUUGGGGGUGUAAAGGUGAGGAAUGGGAGGGGACAAACUAGGCCUGAUACUCUGUGUCAGUGUUAGGAGAAUGAAUUCAUUAAGCAUCUUCAAAAGCCAACUCCAUAAAGAGUAUUUAUUAUUUGCAAUAUGGGUGAAAACCAGGAAUGGGAGAAAAAAAAAUCAUGGAUUCCAUGCUUUUGGAUCUCAUUAUCUAAUGGCCGUAGGCACUGAGGGGUUCCAGGAGGGAGACCAUCACACACACACACACACACACACACACACACAUACACACACACACACACGGGAAAUGACCCACCUCUGUAUGGGGAAGGUCAUGACACCACUACUCACAUCCAUCUAGAUUUCCUUGUGCUCCUUGCCUCCUCUUUGUCACCAGGAUUGCUGAAGCCUUAGCUUGUUGGCCUGUGCUGCUGCAAGAGGGAGAGAGACCCCAGACUGCAGUGGAGCUAAGGUCACUAGCAGAUGUCUUGAAACAGUGGUUCUCAAGCUUUUUAUCUGCAGGACCCAUUUUCAUGCUUAAAACUUAUUGAGGACCUUGGAGAGCUCUUGUUUAUGUGUUGUAUCUAUUGAGAUUUACCGUGUUAGAAAUUAAACUUUAUUAAUUCACUUAAAAUAGCACCAAUAAAUUUGUACUUAUUAACAUUAUUAACAUAGUUUAACAAAAUAAUUAUAUUUUUGAAACAAAAUUAGAAGAGUGGCAUUGUUUCCCAAAUCUCUUUUGAUGUCUGUCUUAAUAGAACACAACUGGGUUCUUAGAUCAUCUUCUGAACUCAGUCCAUUGUAAUCUCACACAUUAAAUUGGCUAUGGAAGGCUCUACUAUACACUCGUGAGAGAAUGUGAAUGCAAAAGGCAAAUAAACAUCUUGGUGUUAACAUGAAAAUAGCUUUGACCUCAUAGACCCCCAUGAUGAAGGCUAGAAAAACUCUCCUUUAGUGGAGAAAGGGGGCUAUCAUCUCCUAGUUUAGGUACCAACAGGAAGCUGGCAGGCAGUGUCAGGGAUCAGAAGUAGGGUUUAGAUUCACAGCCCUGACUCUGCCACUUACUUACUAGCUCUGCGACCUUGGAGUCCUUAUGCCUCAGUUUUUCCAUCUUUAAAAUGGAAUUCGUCAUAGGACUUAUACCUUCAAUGGCUAUUGUGAGUCUUAGUGAUAUAAUAUAAGUGAAGUGUUUAGCUAAUAGUAAGUGCUCAAUAUUAGCUUUGUUUCUUUGGUUUUUAUUACUUUUAAGGUGCCAAUCCAUUAUGAACCUGUUUCUACAUCUACCAAGUGAGGCUGGUCUGCAUGGGCCCAAAGAUCUCAUUUAGCUCUAACAUUCUGUGACUUUGCUCCAAAGCCUUCCUUUCCUUUCCCAUGUUAAGGGUGUGUGUGCACGCACGCAUGCAUGAGAUGUAUACAAUUCUACUGGUAAGAAAAGGACUUAGUUUUCCAUUGUUUUUAAUAAUUAACCAUCCUUCUCUCUCUUCUCACUCCUGCUUAUAAAUCUGUUAAAAUCUUUCAAGGGCUUUCAGAAUAAAACUUGGUGAAAAAAUUGUUGUUUGUUUGGGAAAAAUUAAAUUUAGCUCUUUCAAUUGGAGCCAAUAAAGAUAACAGAGCAAACAGAAAUUUAAAAAUUUGUUUCCAGGUCCCAUGGUGUUUUCAGGUCAAAGUCAUAAUAGGGUUUAUCUCAUGUCUAAAUUUAAUUGAAGGGUAAAUGAAACGAUGCUGUGAGAUCUUGCUGACUCCUCAGUUUACAAAAAUACACAGAGUAGGUAAUAGACUUUUAAUGAAAGAGGAAGGGGAAGGAGCCUGGAUUCACAGAACGGGGCAGAGGAGAGAAAACAGGGGUGAAAAAGCAUUUUGAAAAGGCAAACGUUAGGCCUGCAGUUGAUUGAGGACCCAGAUCAAAAGAAAUCAAUAUAAAUGCCUUGGUUUAUUUUUUCCCCCUCCAUUUUCACUUAAGUACUAGUCUCUAAUACAAUGAAAAGUAGGCACAAAGCAUAUUAGAAAGGAGAUAAGACGAAUGGUCUCAGAAGUAACAGGAAGUACAGCACGUGUUGCGUGCUGCUGAAUUUAAAUUUACCAGAGCCUUGCUACAGAGCCCUAAGAGAGGGCAUGAAGAUUUGCAUGUAAGGACUUUAUUAAAGGGGGAUUUUUAGAAGAAAUCUUGAGAUCACAGCUAAAGCAUUACUGCUUGCCAUGGGCUUGCAGGGACAGUAUCACAGCAAGGCUUGACUUUGGUGUGAAAAAUGUGCUAGAAUUCAAAGCAUAGAAACCUAUGUUGAUAGCUAGAAUUAAUAUCAUGAUGACAAACAUCAUGGAAUAAUGCUAAAAUUUUCUCCUUAGAGGUGACUGUCAGGAUAGCAGCUUUAGAAUUUAGAGAGAGAAUUGUUUACCUUAUAUGAAAUGAUAUUGGUAAUUUUGAUACUAUUGAUAUUACUAGAGUGAGGCUUAAUGUCAACUUUUCCAUCAAAAGCCAUUUGAUACAAUAAUGGAAAGUAUGGGGUCUUGCAGGGUGAGAAACAAGCUCAGAUUGAACCAACAAACUGCUUCUAACAAAGAGGGAUGUGUUUGUGCUCAAAGGAGAAGGAUAAUAGCUAUCAUCAGAAAGAUUAGGAGCUCUUUUACUUGCGGUAAUCACUGGAAAUAUGAAUAAUAUUUUUCAAAAAUAUGUAGAUCGGAAGGAGCCAAAUCUGAUUUCUUGCCAUUUGCAACCUGAAAAAAUAAUCACUUGACCUUAUCCCAUAUGGAACUCGAAGACAUCCAUUUGCAAUUUAUUUUUUCAUCAAAGCUGUUACCUGCCUGAGUUUCUCAUCCACUCUGGAAAGUAUAUGGAAAAAGUCCUAACAUAGCAGAGGGGCAAGAUGUACCCCAUGCAUCCUUUUUGUGCUGAGCAGAUAUGUUUCCAAUUCUGGCCAAGGCAGUUUUCCUGAGUCGGAGACACUAAAUCUCUGGCUGAGGCUUUCAGAGAGCUGAGAUGUGGUUCUGUGGUUACCUGGUGCUCUGGCAGGUAAGUGCCCUGAUGGCCGUGUCUGGGAUCCUGCAUCCAGGUGGGGGCCUAUCAGAAUGGCAAGGGGGAUGACGGCAAGAAAUGCAGGAACUACUUUUUUUCUGAAGGACUGUGUGAGUUGACAUGCAGGGCAGACAGACUUCUGUUGAUGCAAUUAGAAGGUGUCUAGCAGAGUUCCCACUGUGGCUCAACAGGUUAAGAACCUGGUCCAUGAGGAUGUGGGUUUGAUCCCUGGCCUCACUCAGUGGAUAAAGGAUCCGGUGUUGCCACAAGCUGCAGUGUGGGUUGCAGAUGCAAUUUAGAUCUGCUGUUGCCAUGGCUGUAGCAUAGGCCUUAGCCUGGGAACUUCCAUAUGCUGCAGGUCCAAAAAAAAAAAAAAAAAA